CGAGGAUUCCCCUAGUAACGGCGAGUGAACGGGGAAAAGCCCAGCGCUGAAUCCUUCGGCCACUGGUCGCUUGGAAUUGUAGCGUAUAGGUGCGACCGUCCGCCUGUUUCGCUUACCCAAAGUCCCCUUGAGCGGGGCUAUUGUCCAAAGAAGGUGCUAGACCUGUACGGGUGGUGAGACGGUCGGUUGGUUGCUCCUUGGAGUCGGGUUGCCUGGGAUCGCAGCCCAAAGUUGGUGGUAGACCUCAUCUAAGGCUAAAUAUGGCCACGAAACCGAUAGCAAACAAGUACCGUGAGGGAAAGUUGCAAAGAACUUUGAAGAGAGAGUUCAAGAGGGCGUGAAACCGCUGAGAUUGAAACGGAUAGAGUUGACGGAACUCGGCUGCAUUCAUUCGGUCGGCCUAGCGGCCCCAUGGGAUUGGCUUCCUCGAUGAGGGCAGUUCUGUGGAUAGCUGUUGGGUGCUUGAUCGGUGUAUUUGCGGCCGGUAUGCGCUGAGAGCGUCGUGGCCGCAUGUUGAGGGGUGUGUAGUGGACCAUUCCUUCCGGGCGUGGAACCCUCCGCACUUUGAGGCAUGGUGGCCAUGAGGUUUUGAACGUAGCGUCUCCGCUAUGGUGUGUCGGUCUUGUCGAGCUGUUGCGGCAAUGGGGUGUCGCGUGCGACGUUCUGUAGUUGUCGAUGGCGUGAUGGGAUGCAGACGCGUCGAGGCGUCUAUCUCGGUGUGAACGUUGACCACCUAUC
Molecule: ribosomal RNA, 738 nt
Filed under: Raphidascaroides nipponensis
Lineage: Eukaryota; Metazoa; Nematoda; Chromadorea; Rhabditida; Anisakidae
Description: eukaryotic LSU rRNA
Rfam family: Eukaryotic large subunit ribosomal RNA
Source: RNAcentral